CCUACGGGCGGCUGCAGUGGGGAGUAUUGCACAAUGGGCGCAAGCCUGAUGCAGCCAUGCCGCGUGUGUGAAGAAGGCCUUCGGGUUGUAAAGCACUUUCAGCGGGGAGGAAGGCGGUGAGGUUAAUAACCUCAUCGAUUGACGUUACCCGCAGAAGAAGCACCGGCUAACUCCGUGCCAGCAGCCGCGGUAAUACGGAGGGUGCAAGCGUUAAUCGGAAUUACUGGGCGUAAAGCGCACGCAGGCGGUCUGUCAAGUCGGAUGUGAAAUCCCCGGGCUCAACCUGGGAACUGCAUUCGAAACUGGCAGGCUAGAGUCUUGUAGAGGGGGGUAGAAUUCCAGGUGUAGCGGUGAAAUGCGUAGAGAUCUGGAGGAAUACCGGUGGCGAAGGCGGCCCCCUGGACAAAGACUGACGCUCAGGUGCGAAAGCGUGGGGAGCAAACAGGAUUAGAUACCCUUGUAGUC
This 465-nucleotide ribosomal RNA is filed under the name uncultured Klebsiella sp. RNAcentral describes it as "bacterial SSU rRNA". It matches the Rfam family "Bacterial small subunit ribosomal RNA", at positions 338 to 795 of the family's 1533-position model. The record is from RNAcentral. Lineage: Bacteria; Pseudomonadati; Pseudomonadota; Gammaproteobacteria; Enterobacterales; Enterobacteriaceae.